RNAcentral lists this ribosomal RNA (861 nucleotides) under uncultured marine bacterium. Its description in RNAcentral is "bacterial SSU rRNA". It matches the Rfam family "Bacterial small subunit ribosomal RNA", at positions 8 to 916 of the family's 1533-position model. The record is from RNAcentral.
AGAGUUUGAUCCUGGCUCAGAACGAACGCUGGCGGCAGGCCUAACACAUGCAAGUCGAGCGCUCUCUUCGGAGGGAGCGGCGGACGGGUGAGUAACGCGUGGGAACGUGCCCUUCUCUAUGGAAUAGCCACUGGAAACGGUGAGUAAUACCAUAUACGCCCUUCGGGGGAAAGAUUUAUCGGAGAAGGAUCGGCCCGCGUUAGAUUAGGUAGUUGGUGGGGUAAUGGCCUACCAAGCCUACGAUCUAUAGCUGGUUUUAGAGGAUGAUCAGCCACACUGGGACUGAGACACGGCCCAGACUCCUACGGGAGGCAGCAGUGGGGAAUCUUAGACAAUGGGCGCAAGCCUGAUCUAGCCAUGCCGCGUGAGUGAUGAAGGCCUUAGGGUCGUAAAGCUCUUUCGCCAGAGAUGAUAAUGACAGUAUCUGGUAAAGAAACCCCGGCUAACUCCGUGCCAGCAGCCGCGGUAAUACGGAGGGGGUUAGCGUUGUUCGGAAUUACUGGGCGUAAAGCGCACGUAGGCGGAUUAGAAAGUUGGGGGUGAAAUCCCGGGGCUCAACCUCGGAACUGCCUCCAAAACUCCUAGUCUAGAGUUCGAGAGAGGUGAGUGGAAUUCCAAGUGUAGAGGUGAAAUUCGUAGAUAUUUGGAGGAACACCAGUGGCGAAGGCGGCUCACUGGCUCGAUACUGACGCUGAGGUGCGAAAGUGUGGGGAGCAAACAGGAUUAGAUACCCUGGUAGUCCACACCGUAAACGAUGAAUGCCAGUCGUCGGGUAGUAUACUGCUCGGUGACACACCUAACGGAUUAAGCAUUCCGCCUGGGGAGUACGGUCGCAAGAUUAAAACUCAAAGGAAUUGACGG